GAUGAACGCUAGCUAUAGGCUUAACACAUGCAAGUCGAGGGGAAACGGCAUUAUGUGCUUGCACAUUUUGGACGUCGACCGGCGCACGGGUGAGUAUCGCGUAUCCAACCUGCCCUUUACUUGGGGAUACCCCGUUGAAAGACGGCCUAAUACCCGAUGUAAUUCAUUGAUGGCAUCAGAUAUGAAUAAAAGAUUUAUCGGUAAAGGAUGGGGAUGCGUCUGAUUAGCUUGUUGGUGAGGUAAUGGCUCACCAAGGCGACGAUCAGUAGGGGUUCUGAGAGGAAGGUCCCCCACAUUGGAACUGAGACACGGUCCAAACUCCUACGGGAGGCAGCAGUGAGGAAUAUUGGUCAAUGGACGGAAGUCUGAACCAGCCAAGUAGCGUGCAGGAAGACGGCCCUAUGGGUUGUAAACUGCUUUUAUACGAGAAUAAUUUGAUGCACGUGUGCGUUAUUGCAUGUAUCGUAUGAAUAAGGACCGGCUAAUUCCGUGCCAGCAGCCGCGGUAAUACGGAAGGUCCAGGCGUUAUCCGGAUUUAUUGGGUUUAAAGGGAGUGUAGGCGGUUUGUUAAGCGUGUUGUGAAAUUUAGGUGCUCAACAUUUAACUUGCAGCGCGAACUGGCGAACUUGAGUGCACACAACGUAUGCGGAAUUCAUGGUGUAGCGGUGAAAUGCUUAGAUAUCAUGAAGAACUCCGAUUGCGAAGGCAGCAUACGGGAGUGUAACUGACGCUUAAGCUCGAAGGUGCGGGUAUCGAACAGG
RNAcentral lists this ribosomal RNA (761 nucleotides) under uncultured Prevotella sp. RNAcentral describes it as "bacterial SSU rRNA". It matches the Rfam family "Bacterial small subunit ribosomal RNA", at positions 28 to 776 of the family's 1533-position model. Lineage: Bacteria; Pseudomonadati; Bacteroidota; Bacteroidia; Bacteroidales; Prevotellaceae. The record is from RNAcentral.